GACGAACCGUGCGAACGUUGUUCGGAAUCACUGGGCUUAAAGGGCGCGUAGGCGGCUGCGCAAGUCCGGGGUGAAAGCCCCCAGCUCAACUGGGGAAGUGCCUCGGAUACUGCGCAGCUUGAGGGAGGUAGGGGCGGAUGGAACUUCCGGUGGAGCGGUGAAAUGCGUAGAGAUCCGGAGGAAGACCGGUGGCGAAGGCGGUCUGCUGGGCAGUUUCUGACACUGAUGCGCGACAGCGUGGGGAGCAAACAGG
This 253-nucleotide ribosomal RNA is filed under the name uncultured prokaryote. RNAcentral's name for it is "partial 16S ribosomal RNA". It matches the Rfam family "Bacterial small subunit ribosomal RNA", at positions 524 to 776 of the family's 1533-position model. The record is from RNAcentral.